CCCCUUUCACUUGGCUCUCAUUCUUCUUGUCUGCUGCCAUAUGAGAUGUACCUUUCACCCUCCACCAUGAUUGUGAGGCCUCUCCAGCCACAUGGAACUGACAGCACAUGUGGCUUUCCUGCAAUGGGAUCGUCCUUCAAGAGGACCUCACAGGCUCUCCACCCGGACUGUGACGUUCAAAAUGCAGCUGCAUCUGUGCAGAAACCAGGUGUUGCCUGUGAGUUCUGCCUCGCUGGCCAGAGGUGGAAGGAAGGAGGAAAGGAGAGGGGCCUCCAUACUUCCAGAGCCCCACUGGGGGUUACCUUCGCUUGCCCCCACUCUUUUUGUCUUGCUCUGAGGAUGCCAGGACUUUAAGGACAUUGUCAGCGAGCACAGAAAGAAUCUCAGUCAUCUGGACUGCUUUGUGCUAUAUGAAAAUCUCUGAGAACCUUCAAGAGCCCAAAAACAGUUCUCCUCCAUGCUGUAUGCCAUGGUCAGUGGUUAAAGAGAACAUUUUGUUCCACUCCUCCAGCUCUGCCUUAGAAACCCAAGCCCUGCACUCCAAGGCUCCUGGCAUCGUACACCAGCACCAGCAAUUUUCUGCCAAAAGCAUCAGCCAAAAUCUAUUCUAUCUAUUUCAGUUCCUCUCUUUUCAUCGGAUUGUAUUUUUACAGGUGAUUGCUGAUUCUCACACUGCUCUUCAGAUUCAUGUACAGCUGUGGUCUGAAUGUGUGUGUUUUCUCAAAAUUCAAGUUUAAAACUUAAUCCUCAAUGUGAUAGUAUCAACAGCUGCGGCCUUUUGGAAAGUGAAGGUGGAGCCCUCGUGAGUGGGAUUAGAGCUCUUAUAAAAGAGAUUGAAGGGAGCUACCUAGCCCUUCCAUCUCUUCUGCCUUGUGAGGACACAGUGUUCAUCCCUUUUGUCUUCCCACCAUUUGAAGAUGCAGAAAGAAGGUGCCAUCUUGGAAGCAAAGAGCAGCCCUCACCAGACACCAAGUCUGCUGGCACCUUGAUCUUGGACUUCCCAGCCUCCAGGACUGUGAGAAAUGAAUUUCUGUUGUUUAUAAAUUACCUAGUCUAAGGUAUGCUGUUACAGUAGCAGGAAUGGACUAAGACACACAUUGUCAAAAUCUUCAUGAGUUAAAGGUGAAGGUACAAUCAGAACUGGUGCAUGGAAUUGGAACCAUAGGUCUUAGUAAACACUGUAAAAAUGCACUAUUCAAAUCUACAGAAAAUGCUCUCUCUUCAAGUUCAGAAAGAAGCUACAAUCUGCUUUUCCUUUUUUUCUGAAGAUGUGGGGAACGAAAUUGGAUCUUGUGCUUUUGGGUGCUAACUUUGAGCCCUCUUCCUUUACAUCUAAAUGACAAUUUGUGGAUCAAUGAGGAUGUGUCAACUAGCCAAGAUCGAGGACCUGGAGGGGUGCUCUGUGGAAACUGCUUUAAAAUCCUUCAGAGGGUGGGCACGGAGCUCUGGUUCUGGUUGAAGAGUCCUGUCAAGGCCAUCUCAAAAGGAGAAGCAAAGCCUGCAGAGGAGGCCAGCCUGAGUCCUGGGGUGCGAACGGGUGCUGCGCUCAGCAUGAGGAGGAGGAGACCCUGGCCACAGUUCCAUGAAUCUUUGCUCCCUUCCACAUUAUGGAUUCUGGCUAAGAAGAUUUUCAUCUUUCACCACCUGUUCUGGAUUCUUGGAACAGGUAAAUUCAUUGGCCUACGCAAGUCUGAGCUCUAGGUCUGAACCCGCAUGGACCUGAGGGUGCACCGAGAAAAGAAAGGCUGACAACUGGAUCCCGGGAAUGUCAAGGCCACCCUGGGCUUGAAGGGACCGGCCAUGCCUCCAAGCCUUGCCCAGAGAGGGGGUUCAGGAUGCUGCGUGGUUCCAGGUGAUCUAUUGCUUUCUCGAGUUUAAAGUUCAGAGGAUCAUGAAGUACCACAGCUGGAAGGGGUGUAAGUGACACUGCCUAGCCUAACUCUCUUAAAAAUCAUAGCCCUACUCCUGCCUCCCCAAAUCAGAUACGACAGGCAUAGGCUCUGACUGUUCCUUAAGUCUUAGUGGCAAUACUCCCUGACCAGUUUUGCGGGGUUGCUCCCAGUUCCAUUGCUUUUGUAACAGGUGGCCAGAAAGCCUGGGGUCCCGUGAUAAGAGUUUCAGUUCUUUCCAGGAUGGAUGGAAAGAAGGAAGGAAGGAUGGAUGGAUGGAUGAAUGAAUGAGCGGGUGAGCGGAUGGAUGGAUGGAUGGAUGGAUGGAUGGAUAGAUGGGCCAGAGACUGGGAACGGUAAUGCCGGCCAGACGGGUCCGAGCGCCUCGGGAGCCCCAGCCCUCCUCCGGCUGCGGGGCCGCUGCUCCUGCUCCCGGGCCGUCACGGAGCCCUGAGGGAGGGG
RNAcentral lists this long non-coding RNA (2351 nucleotides) under Homo sapiens (human). RNAcentral's name for it is "LHRI_LNC1434.4". The record is from RNAcentral. Lineage: Eukaryota; Metazoa; Chordata; Mammalia; Primates; Hominidae.